CUCCAGACUCCUACGGGAGGCAGCAGUGGGGAAUAUUGCACAAUGGGGGAAACCCUGAUGCAGCGACGCCGCGUGAGUGAAGAAGUAAUUCGUUAUGUAAAGCUCUAUCAGCAGGGAAGAAGAUGACGGUACCUGACCAAGAAGCCCCGGCUAACUACGUGCCAGCAGCCGCGGUAAUACGUAGGGGGCAAGCGUUAUCCGGAUUUACUGGGUGUAAAGGGAGCGCAGACGGCAGUGCAAGUCUGGAGUGAAAGCCCGGGGCCCAACCCCGGAACUGCUCUGGAAACUGUGCGGCUAGAGUGCUGGAGGGGCAGGCGGAAUUCCUAGUGUAGCGGUGAAAUGCGUAGAUAUUAGGAGGAACACCAGUGGCGAAGGCGGCCUGCUGGACAGUAACUGACGUUGAGGCUCGAAAGCGUGGGGAGCAAACAGGAUUAGAUACCCGAGUA
RNAcentral lists this ribosomal RNA (446 nucleotides) under uncultured bacterium. RNAcentral's name for it is "bacterial SSU rRNA". It matches the Rfam family "Bacterial small subunit ribosomal RNA", at positions 329 to 792 of the family's 1533-position model. The record is from RNAcentral.